AUGAAGUGUAACAGAUCUGGUAAACCUAGGAUAAGGACAAAACCAACAGCUACAGGAGCAAAAAGGAGAAAGUAUAAGACUGAUAAGUAUGCACCAACUGAGCUAGAGAAUAUGACAGACAGAAGAAGAAACUACACAAUUAAAACAGACUGUCAAGCUCAGAUGGUUGUUAUCUGGAAAUUUGAUAUAGCACAGUGGGUGGUGACAAGGCUUAUCAUUGAGCACAGCCAUGAUCUGCACCCACCAGGGGAAGUCAGGUUCCUUAGGUCACACAAAUAUAUCACUGAGCAAGAGAAGGACCUAAUUAGAACUUGCAAACGAGUGAACAUACCAACUAGAAAUAUAUUGGCAAUAAUGGCGUUCUUUCGAGGAAGAGGGCUUUCUUCGUUGCCAUAUAUAGCAAAAUAG
RNAcentral lists this ribosomal RNA (408 nucleotides) under Triticum aestivum (bread wheat). RNAcentral's name for it is "partial small subunit ribosomal RNA". The record is from RNAcentral. Lineage: Eukaryota; Viridiplantae; Streptophyta; Magnoliopsida; Poales; Poaceae.